RNAcentral lists this ribosomal RNA (1123 nucleotides) under Metarhizium sp. 1 AM-2020a. Its description in RNAcentral is "partial 28S ribosomal RNA". It matches the Rfam family "Eukaryotic large subunit ribosomal RNA", at positions 24 to 1157 of the family's 3401-position model. Lineage: Eukaryota; Fungi; Ascomycota; Sordariomycetes; Hypocreales; Clavicipitaceae. The record is from RNAcentral.
UUUACCCCGCGUGAAAACCUAGCAAAUCAAUAAGCGGAGGAAAAGAAACCAACAGGGAUCGCCCCAGUUAACGGGCGAGUGAAGCGGCAACAGCUCAAAUUUGAAAUCUGGCCCCUAGGGCCCGAGUUGUAAUUUGCAGAGGAUGCUUUUGGCGAGGUGCCUUCCGAGUUCCCUGGAACGGGACGCCAUAGAGGGUGAGAGCCCCGUCUGGUUGGACGCCGAGCCUCUGUAAAGCUCCUUUCGACGAGUCGAGUAGUUUGGGAAUGCUGCUCUAAAUGGGAGGUAUAUGUCUUCUAAAGCUAAAUAUUGGCCAGAGACCGAUAGCGCACAAGUAGAGUGAUCGAAAGAUGAAAAGCACUUUGAAAAGAGAGUUAAAUAGUACGUGAAAUUGUUGAAAGGGAAGCGCUUAUGACCAGACUUGGGCCCGGUGAAUCAUCCAGCGUUCUCGCUGGUGCACUUUGCCGGUGCCCAGGCCAGCAUCAGUUUGCCCCGGGGGAUAAAGGCUUUGGGAAUGUAGCUCCCUAGGGAGUGUUAUAGCCCAUUGCAUAAUACCCUGUGGCGGACUGAGGUUCGCGCAUCUUGCAAGGAUGCUGGCGUAAUGGUCAUCAGCGACCCGUCUUGAAACACGGACCAAGGAGUCGUCUUCGUAUGCGAGUGUUCGGGUGUUAAACCCCUACGCGUAAUGAAAGUGAACGCAGGUGAGAGCUUCGGCGCAUCAUCGACCGAUCCUGAUGUUCUCGGAUGGAUUUGAGUAAGAGCAUACGGGGCCGGACCCGAAAGAAGGUGAACUAUGCCUGUAUAGGGUGAAGCCAGAGGAAACUCUGGUGGAGGCUCGCAGCGGUUCUGACGUGCAAAUCGAUCGUCAAAUAUGGGCAUGGGGGCGAAAGACUAAUCGAACCUUCUAGUAGCUGGUUUCCGCCGAAGUUUCCCUCACGAUAGCAGUGUUGAUCUCAGUUUUAUGAGGUAAAGCGAAUGAUUAGGGACCCGGGGGCGCUAUAUUGCCUUCAUCCAUUCUCAAACUUUAAAUAUGUAAGAAGCCCUUGUUACUUAACUGAAAGGGCGUGGGCACUUCUGAAUGUAUCAACACUAGUGGCCAUUUUUGGUAGCAAAAAACCUGGGCGAA